RNAcentral lists this unclassified non-coding RNA (1855 nucleotides) under Leishmania donovani. RNAcentral describes it as "gene:unknown". The record is from RNAcentral. Lineage: Eukaryota; Euglenozoa; Kinetoplastea; Trypanosomatida; Trypanosomatidae.
CUUCCCGCCGGCGACCGUAAUGGCGGGAGGGCGGGAAGGUAUGGGACAGGGGGAGAGGCGGCGUCUCUGGGCGGCGUUCUCUUCCCCGCCGUGAUGCUCUGUUUUCGUUUUGCCUCCUCUUCCACUAAGCAUGCGUGGACUAGAGAGCGAUAAAAUCGUGCGCGGUGCGGUGGCACACUCGCCCGCGUUUAGCGUGUACAACGCCCGCUUACAUUCCAUCUCCUCUUCUCUGAACAGCACACGGCUACCCCCGAAGCGCUCCUCGAGAACGUGCCACAAAGAUUCCUCACGAACGCACGCCCCCCCUUCCCCGCAAAAAGCCGUCGAUGUAGAGGUGAAGCACAACAGAGAGACCACUACCCCCUCCUUGUGGAAAAGGCCACUCGCCACUGUGAAGAGGUUGCUUUAUGCAUGGCGCACAGACCCUACCGAUGCCUUCGAAUCCGAGGCUGCUUCGCCCUAUUCACGCGUAAACAACAGCCCUGUGCUCGGUUACCACCGCGAUCCUUGCCGUCGGAGGAGUGCCAGUGCGUCGAAGCUCGCGAAGGAUGCCGCGGACUGAUCGAGGCUCGCUGUGCUAGGAGUGCUUGACCGUGACAUGGUACGUGAAUUUUGUGACGGUAGUUGGGACUCUUUCACCGGUGCUGGGUCGUCGAAUCAGCGCUACUGCACGGCCCUCCGCGACCCCGCGUUGCGCCACGAUAGGAUCAUACACCUCAUCCCGCUCUGGUGGCAUCGGUGAGAGCCCUCCAUUGAAUAGUUCACGCGUCAGACGAUGUGCAGUCUUCUCCACAGCGAAGGGGGCGAUUAUUCCUUUUUGCAGCAUCAAUGGCGUGCCGAACAUGGCAGACGUAUUCGCAAGCAACUUUCGGGGUAGAAGUGGGGAGAGCGAUCCUUCGUGAUUAGACUCACGGCGCCCGUCACUACCGCGCAGCCGUACCAGAGUGCGGCACUUGGGCAUGAGCGCACGGAGGCGCUGAUUGUUGGAGGUUCGAGGCUGCAGUGCCAUAAAGGGGAAAGCGGGUCGCCAGACGACGCACAAUUCCGCAGCAGGGCGCGCGCGUUUCUUCUUUCACCAGCUCAGUCAUGCGUCUCCGCAGGGGAGGCAGGACAAAAAGCCGAAAACACAUGAGCACACGUGCUGAUCCGCCAUGGGGCGCUCACUCUGCCGUAGGCCCCCUCCCCCUAUAUUAAUGCACGUCUAAGCCCCUCGCACAUUUCACCCCUCCAAGCAGGAACAGGGAGAUGAAAAACGAGAGACAGGAAUCAUGUGCCCCCCCCCUCCCCCCGCAGACCGCCGUUUUCCUUUGUUUUGCUCUGGAGCUGGUAGUCACAUGUGGUAGCCGGGCCAGCAUUGAGAAUGCCACAUGCUUCAGAUGCGGCGGCCAUUGCAAUGAUGGUUGGCUGUGCUCCGGACCAGGCAUCAAGGGCCCCUCCCCUCGUCUUCUCUCUCGUGGGGCACCUUGACGCAUAUGGUGAAGCUCGCUCACUGCGAUACCGGAGUUCAGGUAUGUAUGGCUUCGUCUCUGACAUAGCUGGGUGUGCUGUGUGUGGGAAGAUGAUGUGGGAAGGGAAAGGCGCCAUGCAUAACCGGCAAGUGGGAUGUGCUUGAUGAACAUGCGGCCGAUAGUAGCAGUGAAGGAAUGCGAGGCGGGGGGGGGACAAACGGAAGAUGUCAAGCAAGGGAGAAAGUACCGCGUGCCCCUGCUGAAGAGAUGGCCUGCCGUUUUCAAUAUUUCUUUUCUUCGGACCCGACGAAGACAAUUCGCUUUCUGCGACAGAUGCUGGUUUUCAGCCCUGUGCUCCACUAUCGAAAUCGUGGCAAUCUCCGAUUUCUCAAGGCUCUACACCGCAG